UCUCUGCCCGGAGAGAGGCCCGACAGCUGCGACCCGACUGGUUCUGUCCGAGCCCGACGGGCCGCGCUGACCCAGCGACUGUGCCUGACUGACCACAGGGAGGAGACUGUGCACAAUCAUGGAGGGCAGUGGCAAGUCUGGUGGAGAGGGAAGGAGGUCAGGAAAUAAACGAGAGAGGAAAAUUAAGAGAGUGGGUAUCAGGCAGAUUUCUGGGUGAGGCCCAGAGGAGCAUUUUUAUUCAUCCAUCCAUUCAACAAGGGACUAUGUCUUAUCCAACUUGUAUCCCUAGAGUAUAACACAACAUCUGCAUAUAAGACAGAAAGUCAGUGGAUUCAAAACGAUGAAAGUGGAUUCAAAACCUCUGUCAAGGGGUGCUGUCCUUUCCUGGCCAAGUCUCUUUUAUUCUCUUAGGGCUGCAACCUCUUCACCUGGGAAAUGAAUGGUCCUGUGAUUUACAAGAGCAGGGUCCAGGCUGAAGGUGCAGGCCCUAUCCAAGACACAACAUUUCCAGUGGCAGAGAUAAAAAAGUAAGAUUUCAGACUCAAACAUGCAAUGGCACUCCAAGUUUCUGCUUCGAACUGGCAUGUAUCUCUCUAGCUCACAUUUCAUUGGCCAAAGGAAGUCAUGUGGUUAAGCUUGACAAUGGGCUGGGGAAGUGCACUCCUUCCUCUGGAAGGUACACAAGUCACAUGGCAACUGGCUAGGAUGGAUAAUUCUCUUACUGGCCAAGGGAAGGGCAAAUAAUGGAGAAAAAUAAUACGUCAACCACAGGGGUUGAGUAACUUUCCCAAGAUCAAACCACUGGGAAGGGACAGAGGCAGAUUCAAACUCAGACAGUCUCCAAAGCCAUAGUGAACUCCAUGGCUCCCUACUGCCUGUUAGAUGGAAUCCAAAUAUAUUUAAGCUUUAGGGCAUUCCUGCAGCCUGGAGGGCCCUUCUACCUAA
Molecule: long non-coding RNA, 945 nt
Filed under: Homo sapiens (human)
Lineage: Eukaryota; Metazoa; Chordata; Mammalia; Primates; Hominidae
Description: novel transcript
Source: RNAcentral